This 697-nucleotide ribosomal RNA is filed under the name uncultured Bacteroidales bacterium. RNAcentral describes it as "bacterial SSU rRNA". It matches the Rfam family "Bacterial small subunit ribosomal RNA", at positions 32 to 716 of the family's 1533-position model. The record is from RNAcentral. Lineage: Bacteria; Pseudomonadati; Bacteroidota; Bacteroidia; Bacteroidales.
AACGCUAGCUACAGGCUUAACACAUGCAAGUCGAGGGGAAACGACAUCGAAAGCUUGCUUUUGAUGGGCGUCGACCGGCGCACGGGUGAGUAACGCGUAUCCAACCUGCCCACCACUUGGGGAUAACCUUGCGAAAGUAAGACUAAUACCCAAUGAUAUCCCACGAAGGCAUCGGAAUGGGAUUAAAGAUUUAUCGGUGAUGGAUGGGGAUGCGUCUGAUUAGCUUGUUGGCGGGGUAACGGCCCACCAAGGCUACGAUCAGUAGGGGUUCUGAGAGGAAGGUCCCCCACAUUGGAACUGAGACACGGUCCAAACUCCUACGGGAGGCAGCAGUGAGGAAUAUUGGUCAAUGGGCGAGAGCCUGAACCAGCCAAGUAGCGUGCAGGACGACGGCCCUAUGGGUUGUAAACUGCUUUUAUAAGGGAAUAAAGUGAGUCUCGUGAGACUUUUUGCAUGUACCUUAUGAAUAAGGACCGGCUAAUUCCGUGCCAGCAGCCGCGGUAAUACGGAAGGUCCGGGCGUUAUCCGGAUUUAUUGGGUUUAAAGGGAGCGUAGGCCGGAGAUUAAGCGUGUUGUGAAAUGUAGUGGCUCAACCUCUGCACUGCAGCGCGAACUGGUCUUCUUGAGUACGCACAACGUGGGCGGAAUUCGUGGUGUAGCGGUGAAAUGCUUAGAUAUCACGAAGAACUCCCGAUUG